Molecule: ribosomal RNA, 159 nt
Filed under: uncultured Piloderma
Lineage: Eukaryota; Fungi; Basidiomycota; Agaricomycetes; Atheliales; Atheliaceae
Description: 5.8S ribosomal RNA
Rfam family: 5.8S ribosomal RNA
About the family: 5.8S ribosomal RNA (5.8S rRNA) is a component of the large subunit of the eukaryotic ribosome.
Source: RNAcentral
CAACUUUCAACAACGGAUCUCUUGGCUCUCGCAUCGAUGAAGAACGCAGCGAAAUGCGAUAAGUAAUGUGAAUUGCAGAUUUUCAGUGAAUCAUCGAAUCUUUGAACGCACCUUGCGGUCCUUGGUAUUCCGAGGAGCAUGCCUGUUUGAGUGUCAUUA